Trachymyrmex cornetzi is the source of this 770-nucleotide long non-coding RNA. RefSeq lists it as uncharacterized. The transcript is spliced from 3 exons. The record is from RefSeq and is a predicted model, not a curated record. Lineage: Eukaryota; Metazoa; Arthropoda; Insecta; Hymenoptera; Formicidae.
CGUGCGCCGUGCAGCCGCGAGGCCCGGCCAACUCACGUCCUCCCUCGUCUCGUGUCAUCAUUUUUCGACUCUCACUAUCAUAAAUCGGCUAUUUCCUGCGUAUCGUCCAAUCGAUCGAUUACCAGAUUUCUCACAAAUUUUACAAGGCCAUACAAGGACAAAUUUUAUGCCUCACACGGCUGUUACGAGGAAACGUGGCGAACAUCCGGACUACAUCAUCCGGGAGCCUAUCAUCGAAACAAUGAAUCCGCCAUUGAUCGCGCCACGCUUGAAAAUAUCUCGCGAAACGAUACAUGACGGAAAAGUAAUGUGAAUAAAAACACGAAUGUUGCAUAAUCGAGCAAUGAUUUCUCCUGCAUGUAACAUCUCCAUUAUGGAACGAAUUUUAAAAGUUUAUUUAAAAAGAAGAUUAUUCGGUGAGAACGCCCGUGCACGAUGAUCGACGAAGACACAAGAAAACUAAAGAAAAAUUAUGUAUUAAAGUUAUAUUAAAAAUGAAAUUACUAUCGCUCGCAUCGCUCGUCUCAUCGUACAUCUUCGAUUCAUACAACUUUUGAAUGUAAUUAAUAAGUAUCUAUAAAUCUGUAAGGCAAAUCGUGAAAGAUCACAUCGACCUGCAUCGGGAAACGCAACGUGUAUCGAUUCGAGACGGAACUUUAUGGAGACGGUCUCUGUGUUGCAGCUGCAUGUGGAUAAUUAAAGAAUUGGGAAAGGAGAGAAAUAAAGAAAAUAGUCACAUAGCGCAAUCGCGGAAAUGGUCAGGACGACAC